CCUACGGGCGGCAGCAGUGGGGAAUAUUGCACAAUGGGGGAAACCCUGAUGCAGCGACGCCGCGUGAGUGAAGAAGUAAUUCGUUACGUAAAGCUCUAUCAGCAGGGAAGAAAAUGACGGUAACUGAGUAAGAAGCCCCGGCUAACUACGUGCCAGCAGCCGCGGUAAUACGUAGGGGGCAAGCGUUAUCCGGAUUUACUGGGUGUAAAGUGAGCGGAGACGGUUGGCCAAGUCUGGAGGUAAAGGCCGGAGCUUAACUGCGGAAUUGCUUUGGAAACUGGCGAACUAGAGUGCGGGAGGGGUAAGCGGAAUUCCUAGUGUAGCGGUGAAAUGCGUAGAUAUUAGGAGGAACACCGGUGGCGAAGGCGGCUUACUGGACCUUAACUGACGUUGAGGCUCGAAAGCGUGGGGAGCAAACAGGAUUAGAUACCCUAGUAGUC
This 440-nucleotide ribosomal RNA is filed under the name uncultured bacterium. Its description in RNAcentral is "partial 16S ribosomal RNA". It matches the Rfam family "Bacterial small subunit ribosomal RNA", at positions 338 to 795 of the family's 1533-position model. The record is from RNAcentral.